RNAcentral lists this ribosomal RNA (804 nucleotides) under uncultured bacterium. RNAcentral describes it as "bacterial SSU rRNA". It matches the Rfam family "Bacterial small subunit ribosomal RNA", at positions 99 to 941 of the family's 1533-position model. The record is from RNAcentral.
UGCGACGGUGAGUACGCGUGGAACGUGCCUUUCACUACGGAAUAGCUUUUGGAAACGAAAGGUAAUACCGUAUACGCCCUCCGGGGGAAAGAUUUAUCGGUGAAAGAUCGGUCCGCGUUAGAUUAGCUAGUUGGUGAGGUAACGGCUCACCAAGGCUACGAUCUAUAGCUGGUCUGAGAGGAUGAUCAGCCACACUGGGACUGAGACACGGCCCAGACUCCUACGGGAGGCAGCAGUGGGGAAUAUUGCACAAUGGGCGCAAGCCUGAUGCAGCCAUGCCGCGUGAAUGAUGAAGGCCUUAGGGUUGUAAAAUUCUUUCGCCAAGGAUGAUAAUGACAGUACUUGGUAAAGAAGCCCCGGCUAACUUCGUGCCAGCAGCCGCGGUAAUACGAAGGGGGCUAGCGUUGUUCGGAAUUACUGGGCGUAAAGCGCACGUAGGCGGACUUUUAAGUCAGAUGUGAAAUCCCGAGGCUCAACCUCGGAACUGCAUUUGAAACUGGGAGUCUAGAGAUCAGGAGAGGUUAGCGGAAUACCGAGUGUAGAGGUGAAAUUCGUAGAUAUUCGGUGGAACACCAGUGGCGAAGGCGGCUAACUGGACUGAUACUGACGCUGAGGUGCGAAAGUGUGGGGAGCAAACAGGAUUAGAUACCCUGGUAGUCCACACCGUAAACGAUGAGUGCUAGUUGUCUGCAGGCAUGCCUGUAGGUGACGCAGCUAACGCACUAAGCACUCCGCCUGGGGAGUACGGCCGCAAGGUUAAAACUCAAAGAAAUUGACGGGGGCCCGCACAAGCGGUGGAGCAUG